Molecule: ribosomal RNA, 270 nt
Filed under: Pseudopedinella elastica
Lineage: Eukaryota; Dictyochophyceae; Pedinellales
Description: partial Bacterial large subunit ribosomal RNA
Rfam family: Bacterial large subunit ribosomal RNA
Source: RNAcentral
GUUAAGUGACUAAGCGUAUACGGUGGAUGCCUAGGCAGUUAGAGGCGAUGAAGGACGUGUAAGUCUGCGAAAAGCUGUGGUGAGUUGACAAAACGCAUUUGAACCACAGAUGUCCGAAUGGGGAAACCCACCGCUUCGGCGGUAUCUGCACCUGAAUACAUAGGGUGUAGAGGCAAACGAGGGGAACUGAAACAUCUAAGUACCCUUAGGAAAAGAAAUCAACCGAGAUUCCGAGAGUAGUGGCGAGCGAAAUUGGAACAGCCUGUACGA